Molecule: ribosomal RNA, 682 nt
Filed under: Cymatodera xaviera
Lineage: Eukaryota; Metazoa; Arthropoda; Insecta; Coleoptera; Cleridae
Description: eukaryotic LSU rRNA
Rfam family: Eukaryotic large subunit ribosomal RNA
Source: RNAcentral
GUCUUGAAACACGGACCAAGAAGUCUGGCAUGUGCGCGAGUCAUUGGGAACAACUAAACCUAAAGGCGCAAUGAAAGUGAAGGUCCGCCUCGCGCGGACCGAGGGAAGAUGGGCGGAUGUACACCGCACGCUGGCCGCGCCGCGCUCCCGGGGCGUCUCGUUCUCAUUGCGAGAAGAGGCGCACCAAGAGCGUACACGCUGGGACCCGAAAGAUGGUGAACUAUGCCUGGUCAGGACGAAGUCAGGGGAAACCCUGAUGGAGGUCCGUAGCGAUUCUGACGUGCAAAUCGAUCGUCAGAACUGGGUAUAGGGGCGAAAGACUAAUCGAACCAUCUAGUAGCUGGUUCCCUCCGAAGUUUCCCUCAGGAUAGCUGGCGCUCGUCGCCUACCAGUCUCAUCCGGUAAAGCGAAUGAUUAGAGGCAUUGGGGUCGAAACGGCCUCAACCUAUUCUCAAACUUUAAAUGGGUGAGAUCUCCGGCUUGCUUGAACUUAUGAAGCCGCGAGAAACGGAUCAGAGUGCCAAGUGGGCCAUUUUUGGUAAGCAGAACUGGCGCUGUGGGUUGAACCAAACGCCGAGUUAAAGCGCCUAAAUCGACGCUUAUGGGAUACCAUGAAAGGCGUUGGUAACUUAAGACAGCAGGACGGUGGCCAUGGAAGUCGGAAUCCGCUAAGGAGUGUGUA